This 1263-nucleotide long non-coding RNA is filed under the name Equus caballus (horse). RNAcentral describes it as "lncRNA (ENSECAG00000051944.1)". Lineage: Eukaryota; Metazoa; Chordata; Mammalia; Perissodactyla; Equidae. The record is from RNAcentral.
CUUUGUUCUCUGGGCCAUCUAGGCUUCCAGAGAUGGUUUUUAAACUUCUAACAACAACCCUUGAAGGUGGAGUGACAAUAUUUCCUAGCAAAAGAUGCAUCCAUCCCUGUGAAGUGGGGGCUGGGCUGUUCCCCGCUUCACCCCACGUGCAAAGAGAUGAGAUUUAUAAAUGAUACAGCUCAUUGUGUUUUUUCUACAAGAUUAAUUUUAUUGUCCCAUUAUCGGCUCCUUCUGAAUCCAUUCAGGGGUGGAAUAUGUCUUAGCUUUCAUCUCUGGAGCUUUCAUUAAUAAUUAGGUCACCUUUUAGCCAGGAGCCCUGGGUGGCUCAGGCUGGGGAAGAUUCCAGCUGGAAUGGAAACCCUCAGCAUGCUAUAGUGCUCUCGCUGCUCUGGUCCGGGGAAGGGAGCUGCCUCCAACAGCUGAUGUCAGGAGUCAGGCAACUAUGACCCCAUUUUACAAGAGAGGGGCCAAGGGUCACCUCUGCAGGCUGGUAGAGCGGGAAGUUGUGUAACACAGAUUUGAGCCAAGUACAGCUUGCCCCAAAGCCAGUGCUGUCCCCACCCUGGCACAUGAGCAACUGUCCCUCCAGGGUUGAGAGAGUUGGAGGAUAGAGUUUCACUCUCCUGAGAUCUAAAAGAUAAACCAAUUGGAAAUGCUGACAUUGAUUAAUUCUUCUUCUUCUUUCUUUUUUUUUUUUUGCUGAGGAAGAUUUGCCUGAGCUAACAUCUGUGCCAAUCUUCCUCUAUUUUGUACGUGGGUCACCAUCACACCAUGGCUGACAAGUGGUAUAGGUCUGCGCCCAGGAUCCGAACCUGUGAACCCAGGCUGCUGAAGCAGAGCGCGCUGAGGAACUUUAACGGCUAAGCCAUGGGGCCGGCCCUAGUUCUCCAUUUUUUUGAUGAAGUAAUGGAAGUGCUGGGGCCAGAUGUUGAAUGAUUGGCCAUCAUUUGGGACCCAAACAACACUUCUUGGACAUUUAGGAUGUUUAUGAUUUUUCACAGUGGGCUGCUCUUCCUGCCAACUCAAUUCUCACAUAAAACCCUAGGAGGAGAAGGUGGGAUGGAGCAGCCGCCGUGGGAACAGUCUGGCGGCUCCCCAAAAACUUAAGCAGGGUUAUCAUCAGAGCUGGGCAAGCCCGUUCUGGAGACACAGUCAAUUCCGCUUCUGUGUAUAUACUUGAAAGAAUGGGAAACAGGACUCGAACAGGCAUGUGUGCAUGCAUAUCCACAGCAGCACUGUUCCCAACGGCCGGGAGGUGGGGAC